AAAUAUCUCAAAACAGAAUGUGUAAACGACAGAAGAAAUGAAAUGACCAUGAAACGCUCACAUCACAUGGCACGCUUUGAACCACCUAACCAAGCUUUUCCGGACCAAGUAGCUGCAUCCGACCCAAGGCGUAGCUCAUCUUCUCCUUAUACAUAUGUGCACGUCAAAAGCCAAAACCAGAGCCACACAUUCACCAAACUCACACAAAACACUCUUUCUUUCUUGGGUUCCUCUGCUAGCUAUCCUUGGCCAUUCUAGUUUCUCCAUCGGCCAUGGCUGGGACUGGAGUUUUUGCAGAGAUUUUGGAUGGAGAUGUUUACAAGUAUUACUCUGAUGGAGAGUGGAAAAAGUCUUCUUCUGGCAAAACUGUUGCCAUCAUCAAUCCCACUACAAGAAAGACUCAGUACAAGGUUCAAGCUUGCAGCCAAGCAGAGGUUAACAAGGUAAUGGAAUCAGCCAAAAUUGGGCAGAAAGCUUGGGCUAGAACUCCACUUUGGAAGAGAGCAGAACUCCUUCACAAGGCUGCUGCUAUCCUGAAAGAGCACAAGGCUCCAAUUGCUGAGUGCCUGGUGAAAGAAAUUGCAAAACCAGCCAAAGAUGCAGUCUCUGAGGUUGUGAGGUCUGGGGAUCUUGUUUCCUACACUGCUGAAGAAGGAGUAAGGAUUCUGGGAGAGGGCAAGUUCUUGGUCUCUGAUAGUUUUCCUGGCAAUGAGAGGACAAAAUACUGCCUCACUUCUAAGAUCCCCCUUGGAGUGAUUUUAGCCAUUCCACCAUUUAACUAUCCUGUCAACCUUGCUGUCUCAAAGAUUGCUCCUGCAUUGAUUGCUGGAAACUCCCUUGUCCUCAAGCCUCCAACUCAGGUAUCUUCUCAAACUUGUUGCCUCAGUACCGUACCAAUGAGCUUUGACAAGUGAUAUUGAAGUCAAUUUCAGAGCUGUGAGGUUAUAAGUUCGAACCCCAGUUAGAGGGGACAAAAGUAUUCAUUUUGUUCUCCAUAAAUGGUGUAACUAGCUUACUUUCAGGGUGCUGUCUCUUGCCUGCAUAUGGUUCACUGCUUUCACUUAGCUGGUUUUCCCAAAGGCCUCAUCAGUUGUGUCACUGGGAAAGGUUCUGAGAUUGGUGACUUCCUUACUAUGCAUCCUGGUGUCAACUGUAUAAGCUUCACCGGUGGAGACACUGGUAUUGCAAUUUCGAAGAAGGCAGGAAUGAUCCCUCUUCAGAUGGAGUUGGGAGGAAAAGAUGCUUGCAUUGUGCUGGAGGAUGCUGAUCUUGAUUUGGUUGCUGCAAAUAUUAUCAAAGGAGGUUUUUCAUACAGUGGCCAAAGAUGCACUGCAAUAAAGGUGGUGUUGGUGAUGGAAACUGUGGCUGAUGCUCUAGUAGAGAAGGUGAAUGCGAGAGUUGCAAAACUAAGAGUUGGGCCGCCAGAGGACGACUGUGACAUCACUCCAGUGGUUACAGAAUCAUCUGCUAAUUUCAUCGAAGGACUUGUUACGGAUGCUAAAGAGAAAGGAGCAACGUUUUGCCAGGAAUACAAGAGAGAUGGAAACCUCAUUUGGCCUCUGCUUCUAGAUAAUGUAAGACCUGAUAUGAGGAUUGCGUGGGAAGAACCAUUUGGGCCUGUUCUUCCCGUUAUAAGGAUAAAUUCUGUUGAAGAAGGAAUCCACCAUUGCAAUGCUAGCAAUUUCGGGCUCCAGGGUUGUGUGUUCACAAAGGACAUCAACAAAGCUGUGUUGAUAAGUGAUGCAAUGGAGACAGGAACAGUUCAAAUCAACUCUGCACCAGCUCGUGGACCAGAUCAUUUUCCAUUCCAGGGUUUGAAGGACAGUGGAAUUGGAUCACAAGGCAUCACCAACAGCAUUAACAUGAUGACCAAAGUCAAGAGCACUGUUAUCAACUUACCAAGCCCUUCUUACUCCAUGGGUUAGUAUUGUCCAUAUUAGAAUUAGAGAACCAAUAAUCACAAGUAUUCUAGCUGAGUAUUAAUUAGUAAGAUUUGCAGACAAAAAUUUGUCUUUAGACUUGUAUUAUAUGCAUUCUCUUCAUCAAUCAAUAGUUAAGAGUGUAACAAAUAAAUAAAUUAAAUCUUUAAAAAAAGCUACUUAAGUCUUCAGAAUUUUUUUUUCCCAAAGAGGAAAUGCCAUUAAUUUAGUGAGGAAUUAUCAAAGAAAGUUGUUGCUGAUUGAAUGUUGAUCAUUUUGCUGUACACUUCAAAAUUUCCAUCCUCAUAUUUUGGGAUUGGCAGCCUUUUAGACCCUUUUGUCUUCCCAUGCCUAUUCAGGAUUCUCUUUUACAAGUAAAAUUUGAAGAGAAGAAAAGAGCAGCAAAGGGAAAAAGUAGCUGUUUAAAUCAGUUUACUAUAUCACAUGCCUAAGGUAAAAGCAUCCUUUUUUUUCUUUCUUUUUCUUUUUCAUCAUUGCUUUGUAAACUUGACGGUGCUGAUUUGAACCCAUUUCACCCAUUGCUAUUUUGACAGCUUCCAACAGAAUAUCAUAAAUUACUUUAGUAUCAUCAACAUAUUAACUUUAAUAAAAUUUUUCAUUGAGUUAGUUCAUAUCUUUAAAGAGGGUGGCUUGGGUUUAAUGCUAAAAUUACUCCAUUUGUAAUUUGGAGUUAAUAGGUAGGAGUGUACAAAGAAAUCGUCAAACCGAUCCAUUGAUCAAUCCGAAUAAAUUGAAAUCAAAUAUUAGUUAUAGUUUGAAGAAGAUUAUAAAAUGAAUUUUUUAUUUGAAUUUCAUAUUAACAUGGUAAAAGUUCAACCCAAACCGAACCCAUAUAUAUAUAAGAAACACGUGAAUAACCUUAUUUCAUUUUUUUAUUUUUAUUUAUUUCUAUUGAAUAAUACAUUUUAAAUUAAUAUUUAUUUUUCAAUUAGUGUAUGAUAAUUUAUAUAUAAAAAAAGUUUAAUAAAAAUUGAAUUAUAAAAUUUAAAAAUUGUUAAAAGAAAUUGAACAUGUGUGAUUUUAUAUACUACUGUGGAGGCUGUUGUGGUGUAACAAUUAGAUACAUGUACCUAAGCACAGUUUAGCAUGGCUGCAUUUCCGACUUCAAUGGCCGUAUUUUAGUAGAGGGGAGUAAAGCUUGUUGCCUGUCGAGAUGUUGGGUCACCACAUGAAACAGCCACAAAUAUAGGGCUGAAAUUGACAAUUUCAAGACUUCUAAGUGCUGUUUCUAUCUUUGACCAAGAAGUAUUUGCAUUAUGGCAUAUAUUCUCUUGCUAAACCCUUGCACGGCUUCAAAGUAAAUCAUGUUAAACAAGACUUUAACAAGGUAGUUUAUGAGUUGUCAAGGUAGAAAAUCAUGGUUUUGAAGCUAACUCAGCUGGUCGACUUUGAUAUGACCAACAAAAGUAAACAUUGAUGAGGAGUUGUUUGAAACAAAAGCAACAAAUCAAGAGUGAAUCAGCAAGAAAAUCCUCCAUUGCAGAAACUACCAGAGAAUUUGGAUUCCACAAAAUUCCCUGUACAGAAAAUUGCAAAUUUCAAAAUCUCCAGCUGAGAAAGCAUUUGGCUUGAGAAACUGAAACAAAUCCCCAAAACGGAACAAGGUCCUUAAGGGCAAACUUGCUCCACCAACAAAGAAAAUCUAUUGUCUGGAAGCUGUGCAGGUUAAGGUUUUUGGAUCAGCAAGCCAGACAUUCCAGAAAAAUCUAUUGACCUCCCUACUUUGAGCUCAAGACAACAUCUCCAUUCAUAGAUUUAGCUAGCUCUUUGGCUUUUUCAUCAUUAAAACCUAGGGUUGCCAAAAUCUUGUGACCUGCGGAUUCCGUUUCUGACCAAAUCCCUAGAAGUAUAUGAGUAGUGGUUAUUUCUCCAUCAUCACCUGUCACUUGCACAUGAAAACAAUCUAAUAAAGACACCAAAAACACAAACAUUAAGAAAUAAAUGCUUGCACAUGUAACAUCAAGAUGGAUUAAUGUAAUAACAAUGGCAUGCUACAUGAUGCAUAUUCUAUCUUCAGUCACCACAAGUAAACUCAUGCUGACUCUUUAAUGUAGAAAAACUAAGGGUCUAUUUGGAUGAGCGUGAGGGAGAGGUAAAUAAAGGUAAGAAGGAGUAAGUAAUUAUUUUAUCUUUGUUUGGGAAGAUGUAAGUUAAUGGAGGGUAAGGGUAAGUAAGGAUAAGCCUUACCCUACCUUACACCUCAAAUCUCAAUUUUUUCACACUCCAAAUUGGGGGUGUAAGGAGGGAUAAGGAGAAAGAGAGGAUAGUUAUGCAUAUUUCUAUUUCUAUAGUCCUUAAAUUUACUCCUCCUUCACCUCUUCCCAAAUAUAAAGAAUAUACAUUACUUCUUCUUACCUUUCCAUUAAUUCACUUCUUCCUAAAUAUGAAAUUUUUUUAUUGUAACUCUCCUUAUCCUUCUCCUUUCUUACCCUUUCUUACCCUUCCAUUAUUUAACAUUUCCUCACUAAGGGUCUGUUUGGAUUAAGGUGAGGGAGAAAUAAAUAAAGAUAAGGAGAGAUAAGUAACUAUCUUAUUCCUAUUUGGGAGAUGUGAGGUAAUGGAAAGGAAAAGGUAAGUAAGAGUAAGCCUUACCCUCCAUUACCCCUUAAAUCUCAAUUUCUCUUAUAUCCCAAAUUGGUGCAUAAGGAAGGAUAAAAAAGGAGAGAUAAGAGUAAUGAAUGAAUAUUUCUAUUUAUACACCCUUUACCCCUCUUUCGCCUCUUCCUAAACAUAAAAAAUAUAGACUAUCUUUCCUUAUUUUUCCAUUAAUUCACUCCUUCCAAAACAUGAGAUUUUUUUUAUUAUAACUCUCCUUCCCCUUCCUUACCCUUCCUUACCCUUCCAUUACUUACACUUUCCUCACCCCAUCCAAACAAAUCCUAAGGCGAAAAUUGAAGGGAAGCUGAAAAACAUCAAUGGCCAACCAAAACAACAUACCAUAAGCCCACAACACAGAUUAGAUAAUUGGAUAAAUUUAAAACACCCAGCAAAAAAUUUUGCAUAAACUAUUAUGGAGAAAUUGUUGAACUAAAUCAGAAAAAGGAAAUUUCAAAGACUCUUGACUUACAUGCAAUACAAAUUAACUUGAGUUACUUGAUCUAUGCAUUUGCGACCCUGAAACUCAACAAGAAAACACAAAAUUCCAGGGAAUCUCCAUCUCCCAUUAUGAAAUUCACAUUCAACAUUUCUCCCAAGCAU
RNAcentral lists this unclassified non-coding RNA (5138 nucleotides) under Hevea brasiliensis (rubber tree). Lineage: Eukaryota; Viridiplantae; Streptophyta; Magnoliopsida; Malpighiales; Euphorbiaceae. The record is from RNAcentral.